GACGAACGCUGGCGGCGUGCCUAAUACAUGCAAGUCGAACGCAUUUUCUUUCACCGUAGCUUGCUACACCGAAAGAAAAUGAGUGGCGAACGGGUGAGUAACACGUGGGUAACCUGCCCAUCAGCGGGGGAUAACACUUGGAAACAGGUGCUAAUACCGCAUAAUUCCAUUUACCGCAUGGUAGAUGGGUGAAAGGCGCUUUUGCGUCACUGAUGGAUGGACCCGCGGUGCAUUAGCUAGUUGGUGGGGUAACGGCCUACCAAGGCUGCGAUGCAUAGCCGACCUGAGAGGGUGAUCGGCCACACUGGGACUGAGACACGGCCCAGCCUCCUACGGGAGGCAGCAGUAGGGAAUCUUCGGCAAUGGACGCAAGUCUGACCGAGCAACGCCGCGUGAGUGAAGAAGGUUUUCGGAUCGUAAAACUCUGUUGUUAGAGAAGAACAAGGAUGAGAGUGGAAAGUUCAUCCCUUGACGGUAUCUAACCAGAAAGCCACGGCUAACUACGUG
This 507-nucleotide ribosomal RNA is filed under the name uncultured bacterium. Its description in RNAcentral is "partial 16S ribosomal RNA". It matches the Rfam family "Bacterial small subunit ribosomal RNA", at positions 28 to 507 of the family's 1533-position model. The record is from RNAcentral.